GCCGUCCCCAUGAUAAAACAACUUAGAUCUCUGUUAUUGAAUUCUUACUGCACUGUAAGAACCGAUCUCGAAUACACCCACCACAAUAUGACUACCAGUGCCAAUUCUCGAAAUUACCCACAAUAUGACUAUCCGUGCCAAUUCUCUUCCAACAAUACUGACUACCAGUGUCAAUUCUCGAGAUCCCACAAUAUGGCUACCCGUGCCAAUUCUCUUCCCAC
This 221-nucleotide long non-coding RNA is filed under the name Lupinus angustifolius (narrow-leaved blue lupine). RNAcentral's name for it is "long non-coding RNA (LANG_LNC000467)". The record is from RNAcentral. Lineage: Eukaryota; Viridiplantae; Streptophyta; Magnoliopsida; Fabales; Fabaceae.